Molecule: ribosomal RNA, 1375 nt
Filed under: Staphylococcus aureus
Lineage: Bacteria; Bacillati; Bacillota; Bacilli; Caryophanales; Staphylococcaceae
Description: bacterial SSU rRNA
Rfam family: Bacterial small subunit ribosomal RNA
Source: RNAcentral
ACCGGAUAAUAUUUUGAACCGCAUGGUUCAAAAGUGAAAGACGGUCUUGCUGUCACUUAUAGAUGGAUCCGCGCUGCAUUAGCUAGUUGGUAAGGUAACGGCUUACCAAGGCAACGAUGCAUAGCCGACCUGAGAGGGUGAUCGGCCACACUGGAACUGAGACACGGUCCAGACUCCUACGGGAGGCAGCAGUAGGGAAUCUUCCGCAAUGGGCGAAAGCCUGACGGAGCAACGCCGCGUGAGUGAUGAAGGUCUUCGGAUCGUAAAACUCUGUUAUUAGGGAAGAACAUAUGUGUAAGUAACUGUGCACAUCUUGACGGUACCUAAUCAGAAAGCCACGGCUAACUACGUGCCAGCAGCCGCGGUAAUACGUAGGUGGCAAGCGUUAUCCGGAAUUAUUGGGCGUAAAGCGCGCGUAGGCGGUUUUUUAAGUCUGAUGUGAAAGCCCACGGCUCAACCGUGGAGGGUCAUUGGAAACUGGAAAACUUGAGUGCAGAAGAGGAAAGUGGAAUUCCAUGUGUAGCGGUGAAAUGCGCAGAGAUAUGGAGGAACACCAGUGGCGAAGGCGACUUUCUGGUCUGUAACUGACGCUGAUGUGCGAAAGCGUGGGGAUCAAACAGGAUUAGAUACCCUGGUAGUCCACGCCGUAAACGAUGAGUGCUAAGUGUUAGGGGGUUUCCGCCCCUUAGUGCUGCAGCUAACGCAUUAAGCACUCCGCCUGGGGAGUACGACCGCAAGGUUGAAACUCAAAGGAAUUGACGGGGACCCGCACAAGCGGUGGAGCAUGUGGUUUAAUUCGAAGCAACGCGAAGAACCUUACCAAAUCUUGACAUCCUUUGACAACUCUAGAGAUAGAGCCUUCCCCUUCGGGGGACAAAGUGACAGGUGGUGCAUGGUUGUCGUCAGCUCGUGUCGUGAGAUGUUGGGUUAAGUCCCGCAACGAGCGCAACCCUUAAGCUUAGUUGCCAUCAUUAAGUUGGGCACUCUAAGUUGACUGCCGGUGACAAACCGGAGGAAGGUGGGGAUGACGUCAAAUCAUCAUGCCCCUUAUGAUUUGGGCUACACACGUGCUACAAUGGACAAUACAAAGGGCAGCGAAACCGCGAGGUCAAGCAAAUCCCAUAAAGUUGUUCUCAGUUCGGAUUGUAGUCUGCAACUCGACUACAUGAAGCUGGAAUCGCUAGUAAUCGUAGAUCAGCAUGCUACGGUGAAUACGUUCCCGGGUCUUGUACACACCGCCCGUCACACCACGAGAGUUUGUAACACCCGAAGCCGGUGGAGUAACCUUUUAGGAGCUAGCCGUCGAAGGUGGGACAAAUGAUUGGGGUGAAGUCGUAACAAGGUAGCCGUAUCGGAAGGUGCGGCUGGAUCACCU